AGUGGGUGUAAUGUACCUACUAGCCUACGACGGGUACGGGUUGUGAGAGCAAGAGCCCGGAGAUGGAUUCUGAGACACGAAUCCAGGCCCUACGGGGUGCAGCAGGCGCGAAAACUUUACAAUGCUGGCAACAGCGAUAAGGGAACCUCGAGUGCCAGGUUACAAAUCUGGCUGUCGAGAUGCCUAAAAAGCAUUUCAUAGCAAGGGCCGGGCAAGACCGGUGCCAGCCGCCGCGGUAACACCGGCGGCUCGAGUGGUAACCGUUAUUAUUGGGUCUAAAGGGUCUGUAGCCGGCCGGAUAAGUCUCUUGAGAAAUCUGGCAGCUUAACUGUCAGGCUUUCAGGAGAUACUGUCUGGCUCGAGGCCGGGAGAGGUGAGAGGUACUUCAGGGGUAGGGGUGAAAUCUUGUAAUCCCCGAGGGACGACCGAUGGCGAAGGCAUCUUACCAGAACGGCUUCGACAGUGAGGGACGAAAGCUGGGGGAGCAAACCGGAUUAGAU
This 500-nucleotide ribosomal RNA is filed under the name uncultured microorganism. Its description in RNAcentral is "bacterial SSU rRNA". It matches the Rfam family "Archaeal small subunit ribosomal RNA", at positions 234 to 734 of the family's 1478-position model. The record is from RNAcentral.